RNAcentral lists this long non-coding RNA (1755 nucleotides) under Jatropha curcas. RNAcentral describes it as "long non-coding RNA (JCUR_LNC000053)". The record is from RNAcentral. Lineage: Eukaryota; Viridiplantae; Streptophyta; Magnoliopsida; Malpighiales; Euphorbiaceae.
UCCAAAGCACCAUAAAACCCUCCUCCCUUGUCAAUUUAUUUUGAAGCGCUAAAGAUAAAAGCCACUCUUGCAUAUUCGCCCAUGGCCUCGAACCCACCUGCGUUAAAAGACAACAAUCUUUAACUAUAUUACACUGCAACAGAGUGUGCUCCGUUGUCUCAUUUGCCAAACCACAAGUAGGACAAAGUGAUGAAAUCUCGAUAUGGCGCCGUUGCAAGUUUGCACAGUAAGACAAUGUAUUGCCCACAACUCACCAUACAUGAUGCUGGAUCUUUUUUGGUAUCUUUGCUCGCCAAAUGAUAGACCAUACAUCUACUUUAACCAUACCCAUCCCAUUUGCCAUCUCUAUAGCCACCCUAUGUCUGCUUUUCAUUGAAUACUUACCAUGAUGCUCAUGUGACCAGAUCCAGGAAUCAGCUUUAAGAGUGAGCGACAAAGGGAUCUACAAAAUUAAAUCAACAUUAUGAGGUAAGAAAAUAUCACGAACCAAGUCUUCCUUCCAUCGUAAAGGAGAUUCCACCGUGAGAGACGAAACUGUAGUAGCUUCCCAACCCUCAGGAACAGAUGAAAUAACUUGAGGAUUAGAGUUGUCCAUUAGCCAUGGCUGAUGGAAAGUAAGAGUAGACCCGCCAUUUCCAAUACAUCGACAGCAUCCAUUCUGUAAAAUAUAUCGAGAAUUCCAUAUACUUCUCCAUAAAUAAGAAGGAUUUCGACUUAACUCCGCAUGUAAAAAAUCCGUCUCAGGGAAGUAUCUAACCUUUAAAGUGGUGGCGGCCAAAGAAUGUGACGAUUGCAUGAGCCUCCACCCUUGCUUGCCGAGUAAAGCCAUGUUAAUAAAUUGUCAUAAAUUGUCACUUUUAUUCUUAAUAUUUUUGGUAUUUUUGAGUUUUUUUCAAGCUUAAAUCAGUUGGUUGAACAAUUUUUAUCAAUUAAACAUGAUCUAAGUUAUUUUUUUGAAUAAUACCAUUUAAUUGAGGAAUUUUCAGCAUUGUUAAUAUUUUGACCAUUGUUUGCUUCUUCAGGCAUAACUGAAUGUAUAGAAGUUCAAAUUGAUUGAUUUGUGAUUUGUUGGAAAGAUAGAAAGGAGCUCUACAAAUUUCUAAAGGAGGCAAGAUUCAAUUCAGCUUUGAAAUUCAUCAAAAAGAGCUCUGAAUCUAGAACAAAUGUCAUGAAUGAACAUGCAUGAACGAGUUUUAUUGUUUAAGACAUAUCUGGAGCUCCAAGAGUCAAAAUUAGCUCAGCCCAGGCCCAUUUGAAUCUUAGAAGAUGGCCCUACAGUCGCUGUGAAGACAACUAAAUGAAGUGAGGUCGUUUUGAUUGUCAAAAAUGCCAUAAAAGAUCACGUUUUUAGCAGAAAUAUCUGCUUCAUGAUUUGGUUUUUAAGUCGUAUCUUCUGCUGUGAGUGUCCGUUUUGGGCGAGCCUUAGUUCGUUAGAAAGGUGAGAAGGAGAUCUACAAGUUUGUUGAAGAAGUCAGAAUCAGAUUCGAAAAGGAAUUUGCUGAAAAAUGGGAGAGAAAUCAAAACAAUAAAGAUUUCUGUUGACUGUUUUUUAUUUUCCCAAGUGAUUAGAGAUUCUUUGGGUCUUUUGAGAGGCUAUAUAUAGUUGCAAUUCUGGAGCAGCAGACGCACGCUUUUCUUCCCACAUAGUUCACCAUCUAAUUUGAGAGUUUGUUUAGUUUUCUUUUGUUUUAGUGAUUGAAAGGCAUGAAUAUGAGUGACUAAUUUCUUAGUUCAGUUCAAGGCAUUCAAUUUCCA